UACACUCCUGCGGGAGGCAGCAGUGGGGAAUUUUGGACAAUGGGCGAAAGCCUGAUCCAGCAAUGCCGCGUGAGUGAAGAAGGCCUUCGGGUUGUAAAGCUCUUUUGUCAGGGAAGAAACGGUGAAAGCUAAUAUCUUUUGCUAAUGACGGUACCUGAAGAAUAAGCACCGGCUAACUACGUGCCAGCAGCCGCGGUAAUACGUAGGGUGCAAGCGUUAAUCGGAAUUACUGGGCGUAAAGCGUGCGCAGGCGGUUUUGUAAGUCUGAUGUGAAAUCCCCGGGCUCAACCUGGGAAUUGCAUUGGAGACUGCAAGGCUAGAAUCUGGCAGAGGGGGGUAGAAUUCCACGUGUAGCAGUGAAAUGCGUAGAUAUGUGGAGGAACACCGAUGGCGAAGGCAGCCCCCUGGGUCAAGAUUGACGCUCAUGCACGAAAGCGUGGGGAGCAAACAGGAUUAGAUACCCCUGUAGUCCC
RNAcentral lists this ribosomal RNA (473 nucleotides) under uncultured organism. RNAcentral's name for it is "partial 16S ribosomal RNA". It matches the Rfam family "Bacterial small subunit ribosomal RNA", at positions 332 to 797 of the family's 1533-position model. The record is from RNAcentral.